GACGAACGCUGGCGGCGUGCUUAACACAUGCAAGUCGAACGGUAAGGCCCUUCGGGGUACACGAGUGGCGAACGGGUGAGUAACACGUGGGUGAUCUGCCCUGCACUUCGGGAUAAGCCUGGGAAACUGGUCUAAUACCGGAUAGGACCACUGCCUGCAUGGGUGGUGGUGGAAAGCUUUUGCGGUGUGGGAUGGGCCCGCGGCCUAUCAGCUUGUUGGUGGGGUGAUGGCCUACCAAGGCGACGACGGGUAGCCGGCCUGAGAGGGUGACCGGCCACAAUGGGCGUGGGAUACGGCCCAGACUCCUACGGGAGGCAGCAGUGGGGAAUAUUGAACAAUGGGCGCAAGCCUGAUGCAGCGACGCCGCGUGAGGGAUGACGGCCUUCGGGUUGUAAACCUCUUUCAGCACCGACGAAGCGCAAGUGACGGUAGGUGCAGAAGAAGGACCGGCCAACUACGUGCCAGCCGCCGCCGUAA
This 477-nucleotide ribosomal RNA is filed under the name uncultured bacterium. RNAcentral describes it as "partial 16S ribosomal RNA". It matches the Rfam family "Bacterial small subunit ribosomal RNA", at positions 28 to 523 of the family's 1533-position model. The record is from RNAcentral.